GAAGAAAUACAGUAAGGUCUUUCCCUUUAGUAAAAGGAAAGACCUUAAUAAACAGAAGAAAUACAGUAAGGUCUUUCCCUUUAGUAAAAGGAAAGACCUUAAUUAAAACACAACAGAUUGUUGGGAAGACACAUUUAUUAAUUAAUAUUGGGGCGGGAAAACAAUAAGAGAUACAACACAAUAAAAUAUUAUACAUAUAUACACAUGACAAUCAUGUAAGAAGACAAAACAAUAUUUAUGUAACUUUCAGUUCAAUUUACAGGCUUCAUUCCUAUAAAAAACAUUGUUGACUUAUGUAGACGAAACGCGCGUCUGGCGUAUAACAUUAUACGCUUGGUAUGUUUGAGAACUAUUGAUAUCCUUUUGACUAAAAAAUGUGAAUAUGAUACUCUUAUUAAAUCAUUAUAAAAUAUUAAAUUUGAAAAGGAGCGUACUGAAGAAAAAUACGAAAAUCAAACGUCAACGCCAUGAAUAAAAAAAGAAAAAGAACAACAACUAAACAACAGUAAACAAAACAAAACAUACAUAACUAAUGACUGAAUAUCACGAGCACCACCAACAUAUGGUGGUGAUAUGAGGUUCACUGGUAGGGUAAGAAUAUCCUGCUCCACAUGUCGAGCAAGUAGACGGAAUUGUAUGGUCAACCAACUUGAGGUGUCGUCCAUUAAAAAGGACGAGGGGAUAGUUUAAACUUCAUCAAUUAAAACUCUUGGUUUAAUAGUUUCCUUGUGAGAAGUAAUCUUGUAUCGAGGAAAUACUAACUCUUAAAGCAUUUUUUUCUGUUUUACAGUGCGUAUUUUCACAUCCGUACCGUCCAUAGCCCCAAAAAUUAUUGACGUGGUUUAUUUUCAACAAUGAUUUUACCCUCGAUCUUCUCAAUUUAAUUUUAUAGAAAAAUGAGCAAAUGCAUAUGAUUUAUUUUACCUCCUAAUAGAUAAAUGUCAUUGGUUUCAGGGACGGUUUCACUCUAAUGGAAUGAAAUUUUCCGAAGGAUAAAAUAUUUGAGACCUUUGUGGCAUUUUACCCCCUUUUGUGCAAUAUUUCGUAACAAAUAAAUGCAGAUUGUUGCCUUGAUUACACCAAAAAGAGAUAGUAUUUCAAAUUAAAACUAUUGCACAUCAAUUCUAUGGAAGAAGUUUUUUCUAAUAAAUAUACACAUGCAUAACGAAAACAUAAAGCCUUAUUUGUUUGAAAUGAAGGGAAAGAGAGUGGUUAAAAAUUAUGAGUAAUUUUAAGGGUUUUUUUCCUAACUAUGUAUUGCUACUUAAACGAUAAAACGAAAACAAAUCCGGGUUACACACUAAGACCGAGGGAAACACGUCAACUACAACAGGAAAACAACGGAACAACAGAAUCCUUGAACUGCAAGAAAAACACACUUGAAGAUACAUAGAAACGAAUAAUUCUGCCAUAUUUAUUACUUGGUACAUGACUUUUUAGGAAAUAUGAAUAAACUCUCAUCACAGAAACAUACAUAAAACAUGAUAUAAUAG
RNAcentral lists this long non-coding RNA (1493 nucleotides) under Mytilus galloprovincialis (Mediterranean mussel). The record is from RNAcentral. Lineage: Eukaryota; Metazoa; Mollusca; Bivalvia; Mytilida; Mytilidae.